This 429-nucleotide ribosomal RNA is filed under the name Chloroflexota bacterium. RNAcentral's name for it is "Chloroflexi bacterium partial 16S ribosomal RNA". It matches the Rfam family "Bacterial small subunit ribosomal RNA", at positions 355 to 776 of the family's 1533-position model. Lineage: Bacteria; Bacillati; Chloroflexota. The record is from RNAcentral.
UGGGGAAUAUUGCACAAUGGGCGCAAGCCUGAUGCAGCCAUGCCGCGUGUAUGAAGAAGGCCUUCGGGUUGUAAAGUACUUUCAGCGGGGAGGAAGGGAGUAAAGUUAAUACCUUUGCUCAUUGACGUUACCCGCAGAAGAAGCACCGGCUAACUCCGUGCCAGCAGCCGCGGUAAUACGGAGGGUGCAAGCGUUAAUCGGAAUUACUGGGCGUAAAGCGCACGCAGGCGGUUGAUUGAGUCAGAUGUGAAAUCCCCGGGCUUAACCCGGGAAUUGCAUCUGAUACUGGUCAGCUAGAGUCUUGUAGAGGGGGGUAGAAUUCCAUGUGUAGCGGUGAAAUGCGUAGAGAUCUGGAGGAAUACCGGUGGCGAAGGCGGCCCCCUGGACGAAGACUGACGCUCAGGUGCGAAAGCGUGGGGAGCAAACAGG